AGUGAACGCUGGCGGUAGGCCUAACACAUGCAAGUCGAACGGCAGCACAGUAAGAGCUUGCUCUUACGGGUGGCGAGUGGCGGGCGGGUGAGGAAUACAUCGGAAUCUACUUUUUCGUGGGGGAUAACGUAGGGAAACUUACGCUAAUACCGCAUACGACCUACGGGUGAAAGCAGGGGAUCUUCGGACCUUGCGCGAUUGAAUGAGCCGAUGUCGGAUUAGCUAGUUGGCGGGGUAAAGGCCCACCAAGGCGACGAUCCGUAGCUGGUCUGAGAGGAUGAUCGGCCACACGGGAACUGAGACACGGUCCAGACUCCUACGGGAGGCAGCAGUGGGGAAUAUUGGACAAUGGGCGCAAGCCUGAUCCAGCCAUACCGCGUGGGUGAAGAAGGCCUUCGGGUUGUAAAGCCCUUUUGUUGGGAAAGAAAAGCAGCAGGUUAAUACCCCGCUGUUCUGACGGUACCCAAAGAAUAAGCACCGGCUAACUUCGUG
This 492-nucleotide ribosomal RNA is filed under the name uncultured bacterium. RNAcentral describes it as "partial 16S ribosomal RNA". It matches the Rfam family "Bacterial small subunit ribosomal RNA", at positions 29 to 507 of the family's 1533-position model. The record is from RNAcentral.